GGAGAGGUGUCCGAGUGGCUUAAGGAGCUGGCCUCGAAAUCCAGUGUCUCCGUAAGGAACCGUGGGUUCGAAUCCCACCCUUUCCG
This 86-nucleotide transfer RNA is filed under the name Lachnospiraceae bacterium. RNAcentral describes it as "tRNA-Ser". It matches the Rfam family "tRNA". From Rfam's summary of the family: Transfer RNA (tRNA) molecules are approximately 80 nucleotides in length. Their secondary structure includes four short double-helical elements and three loops (D, anti-codon, and T loops). Further hydrogen bonds mediate the characteristic L-shaped molecular structure. tRNAs have two regions of fundamental functional importance: the anti-codon, which is responsible for specific mRNA codon recognition, and the 3' end, to which the tRNAs corresponding amino acid is attached (by aminoacyl-tRNA synthetases). tRNAs cope with the degeneracy of the genetic code in two manners: having more than one tRNA (with a specific anti-codon) for a particular amino acid; and 'wobble' base-pairing, i.e. permitting non-standard base-pairing at the 3rd anti-codon position. Lineage: Bacteria; Bacillati; Bacillota; Clostridia; Lachnospirales; Lachnospiraceae. The record is from RNAcentral.